RNAcentral lists this ribosomal RNA (789 nucleotides) under uncultured archaeon. RNAcentral's name for it is "bacterial SSU rRNA". It matches the Rfam family "Archaeal small subunit ribosomal RNA", at positions 129 to 906 of the family's 1478-position model. The record is from RNAcentral.
ACCUCGGGACUGAGGACAAACCGCGAUAGGUGUCAAGCACUGGAAUGUCUGACAUCAAAAUAUGAAGGCCUGUAUUCGGCUCAAUGCCCUAAGAGGAGUCUGCGGCGGAUUAGCCUGACGGUAGGGUAACGACCUACCGUAGCUACGAUCUGUACCGGCAUUGGGAGAUGGAGCCGGGAGAUGGACACUGAGACAAGGGUCCAGGUUCUACGGAGCGCAGCAGUCGCGAAACCUUCGCAAUGCGCGCAAGCGUGACGAGGGGACCCCAAGUGCGCAUGUACAACAUGCGCUUUUACGAAGUGUAGGCAGCUUCGGGAAUAAGGGCUGGGUAAGACUGGUGCCAGCCUCCGCGGUAACACCAGCAGCUCAAGUGGUGAUCGUGUUUACUGGGUUUAAGGCGUGCGUAGUCGGUUCGGCAAGUCUUCUGUGAAAUCCUGCGGCUCAACCGCAGGGAUUGCAGAAGAUACUACCGUGCUUGAGGCCGGGGUAGGUGUGGGGUAUUCUAGGGGUAGCGGUGAAAUGCUAUAAUCCCUGGAGGACCACCCGUAGCGAAGGCGCCACACUGGAACGGGCCUGACGAUGAGGUACGAGAGCUAGGGGAGCGAACAGGAUUAGAUACCCUGGUAGUCCUAGCCGUAAACGAUGUGGGUUUAGUGUCCCCUAAACUUCGUGUUUGGGGGGUGCUGAAGGGAAACCGUUAAACCCACCACCUGGGGAGUACGGUCGCAAGGCUGAAACUUAAAGGAAUUGGCGGGGGAACACCACAAGGGGUGGAUGCUGCGGUCAAUG